CGGGCGCAUAGCUCAGUUGGUCAGAGCCACCGGCUCAUAACCGGUCGGUCGUAGGUUCGAAUCCUACUGCGCCC
This 74-nucleotide transfer RNA is filed under the name Desulfotalea psychrophila LSv54. Its description in RNAcentral is "Predicted Met trna". It matches the Rfam family "tRNA". From Rfam's summary of the family: Transfer RNA (tRNA) molecules are approximately 80 nucleotides in length. Their secondary structure includes four short double-helical elements and three loops (D, anti-codon, and T loops). Lineage: Bacteria; Pseudomonadati; Thermodesulfobacteriota; Desulfobulbia; Desulfobulbales; Desulfocapsaceae. The record is from RNAcentral.